GAUGAUGAAGAGGAGGCUGAAGAUGAGGUGAAAAUCUCUCCUGUUUUAUGUAGUUAUGUUUUCAUUUUAAUGUGAUAUAUGUCAUAGCUGGUUGUUUGAUUAGAAGGCUUUCUUGCUAGUCUAUAUUAAGUGUAAUUUAUUCUGUUUUAUUUGAUACUGUGUGGAUUGUUUAUUUUGUGUGUUACUUUUGUUAAUUUCUCUUGCUAUUUGUUUUCUAAGAUAUGCAUGUCCUGCAAUGUUUGACAAUUCUUUUCUAAUUUAUGGUAUUUUCUUGCUUCAAUCUGCGUGAUUCAUGUGCUUAUUGCUGCCGAAGAAUUGUCAUCUUAUUUGAUCUCCAUAACCAUUGAUCAAUUUGAUCGUUACAUGAUUGUUGCUGGAAAUACCAGUAAUUUUUGGUAGCAUAUUGGUUAGAAAGUCUUGUUAUAUCAGAUUACCCCCAAAAGAAAUAUUAAUUUCAUGUUAGUAUGAACCUGGAAGUUUUGGUGCACAGGUGGUUUCCGUUGCCACAUUGGAAACCAAGCUGAUAUUGUGAAUCCUUUUUUUUUUGAAAAGUGGUAAUUUCUUAUUAGAUCAAGGUGGUGUGGAAUAUUUAUAUUAUUUCUGCUUGAAUUGUGUUAUUCUACAGAAGAGUGACUAAAGAGGGAUUAAUCAGAAGUUGGUAAGAGGGGAAUAACUUUUGGCACGAUUUAUUUGUGUGAGGUCUUGACCAUAAUUUGGUUAUUCUACCCAAGUUUUAUGCAAAUGCUCAUAAAAAACAUGCCUGCAAAAAAAGGUUCCAGUUGGAUUACAUUUUGAUUUGUGAGAGAUUUUCUGAGAAUUCUCUUUAGAGUUUCUCUCUCAAUUUUUAUACUUGCAAACUGAAUGCUAAGGCUCUAAGUGCAGUGAUCUAGAUUCACAAUUUUCCUUGUCUUUUGUGGGUCUGCUUUUGUGCCAUCUCUUUGUUCCGCCUUUCUUCCUUAUAGCUUAUUGUUUUUAUGCACAAUCUCUUGAUUUCCAAAAUUUUGGAAUCUAAAGUUUGCUGUGAUCUGCCCUGUCCCCAUUGAGCUUGUUUCUCUUGGAAGAAACUUCCUUGAACCUCUUUUUUGGGGGGUUAUCUCCUCCUGGCUUAAGAUAGUAUUAUCAGUUACUUACAAAAGGGGUGUCGGAUUAUGGUGUUUUUAGUUUUUCAUCUUUUUGUUGGUUUUAAAUUGAUGUACUUUAAUGGAUCUCCGACCAAUUCAUUUUUCGGACUUUUACUUUUCUGCCAUCAUAUCCCGUAGAGGUGACCAUGUCAAUUGCCAAAGUAUAGGGAAUGUUACCUUGUCGAAUCUGCUGCUUAUGUGCUAUUCUGCAUUUUCUUAGUUUUCAUCAAGUGAUUUUCUAUUUUCUGACUAAAAAUUCGUUUUUUUGUUUUUUCCCUUUUCUGUCAUUAUAUAUCAUUAUCUUCCUUUUUUUCCCGGAAAGGACUGUUUGAUUUUGCUGCUAAGGUAUAUGCGAUAAUUUGGUGGUGUUGAAUUCACUGCUUAUGUUACUUUCCACUUUUCUGCCUUGGUGUCGUAAUGGUUAUUUUAUAUUUUUUUUUUUCUUACUGCUAAAAGAUAUGUUUUCUGAGUUCUAUUGGCCUAGCUUCGUUUGCAUAUUUAAAUGAUCUACUUCCACAGAUGUGUUUUAUGGCCUUUUGAUUUUAUCUGAACCUUGGUAAUUGUUUUAUGGUUAAUUUGGUGAUCAUUAUCUUGUUAUCACCUUAAAAUUUUGCAUCUUAGGGUUUUGCAGUAUAUCAGUUGACCACCCUUAUCUAGGUUUGUGGAGCUUACUAUGCUAAUUUUCAUUUAAAUGGCAGGAGGAAGAUAAUGGCAAUGGCUACCUUGUUCAACCAGUUGGUCCUAUUGAAGUAGAUGAUGCUGAAGGCAGUGAUAUGGAGCCAGUAAAUGGUGAUGAAGAUCCUGAGUUGGAGGAAGAAGUUGAAGAUGAAGAGGACGACUAUGGUGAAGUUCAAGAGGUGCCACCUUCCUCCUCUCAAAAGAGGAAGCGGGAUGAUGACGAUGAUGAUGAUGGUGGUGAAGAAGAUGAUGAUGAAGAGUAUGCAAAGUCAUCCAAGCAUCGUUAGUGACUUUAUCUGUGGUGGGUUUGACGAAAGUGAUGAACUUGAGGAAUAGAUUUGUCUGGAGGCUGGAAGUAGUUGACUGUUGAACGUCUUUUCAUGGACAGAACACAUGUUUUGGUGGGAAAUUCAGGUCUGAGAGGUAUACAAAUGUUCAAAAGGUCGUUAGUAAAUAUUGGCCGUUGGGUUGUGAUUCAAAUGGCAGUUGAUGGGGAGAUCCAAUCCGCUUCAUGAGUAGGUUAUUGGAGGGGAAUUUGAAUUGGGGAAAAGCUAAAAAGAAAACCUCUGCUAGUUCAACAAUAGAAGUAGUGAUAGAAUUUGUUUUCCGCCUUUUUUCUUGAAUUUUAAAAAGGACGCUUUGCUUUUCCUGGGGGAUAGUUUUUAAUUGGCUUGUAAAACAGUCUUGUGGAUAGUUGUCUCAGUUAAGUGUGACCGUUUAUCAUUGUGAUGAGUCCGUCCUUUGAUCCAAUUAUGUCACAUGCAAUUUGCUGUCAGCCUACUUUUACAUCUAAUUUUUUUUGGCAA
This 2605-nucleotide long non-coding RNA is filed under the name Nicotiana tabacum (common tobacco). Its description in RNAcentral is "long non-coding RNA (NTAB_LNC008537)". Lineage: Eukaryota; Viridiplantae; Streptophyta; Magnoliopsida; Solanales; Solanaceae. The record is from RNAcentral.